CACCGCCUGGGGAGUACGACCGCAAGGUCAAAACUCAAAUGAAUUGACGGGGACCCGCACAAGCGGUGGAGCAUGUGGUUUAAUUCGAAGAUACGCGCAGAACCUUACCAACUCUUGACAUGUUCGUCGCGACUUUAAGAGAUUAAAGUCUUCGGUUCGGCCGGACGAAACACAGGUGCUGCAUGGCUGUCGUCAGCUCGUGUCGUGAGAUGUUGGGUUAAGUCCCGCAACGAGCGCAACCCUUACUUUUAGUUGCCAUCAUUUAGUUGGGAACUCUAAAAGAACUGCCAGUGAUAAGCUGGAGGAAGGUGGGGAUGACGUCAAGUCCUCAUGGCCCUUACGUGUUGGGCUACACACGUGCUACAAUGGUACUUACAAUGAGAUGCAAAGAGGCGACUCCAAGCCAAUCUCAAAAAGGUACCUCAGUUCGGAUUGUACUCUGCAACUCGAGUACAUGAAGCUGGAAUUGCUAGUAAUCGCGGAUCAGCGCGCCGCGGUGAAUACGUUCCCGGGUCUUGUACACACCGCCCGUCACACCAUGGAAGUUGGUUACACCUUAAGGCAAAUUGUUAACCCUCGGGAAACAUUUGACUACGGUACGAUCAGCGACUGGGGUGAAGUCGUAACAAGGUAGCCGUAGGGGAACCUGCGGCUGGAUCACCUCCUUUCUAAGGAAAUCGAAAGUUCUUUAUUUUCGAUUUAAAAAAAACGGUAAUGUGACCGUCCUCAUUUCUCUUCUUUGAUAAUGUCUCUGAGUAAAUGUGAAAGGGGCCGGUAGCUCAGGUGGUUAGAGCGCACCCCUGAUAAGGGUGAGGUCGGAAGUUCGAGUCUUCCUCGGCCCACCAAUAUUAUGGGGGAUUAGCUCAGCUGGGAGAGCGCCUGAUUUGCAUUCAGGAGGUCAGCGGUUCGAUCCCGCUAUCCUCCACCAAAAUUUGAGACAUUUAGCUUUUUUAAAUUGUGAAUAUUAUUAUCAAUAUCUAUAUCCGAUUGUUUUCGAUAUUUUUUUGAAAACAAUCAAAACAAAAAUUUAAUUUAUUACAGAAAAGUUUUUUUCUG
RNAcentral lists this small RNA (1056 nucleotides) under uncultured Pelagibacterales bacterium. Its description in RNAcentral is "bacterial SSU rRNA". The stretch from base 1 to 668 matches the Rfam family "Bacterial small subunit ribosomal RNA", at positions 867 to 1533 of the family's 1533-position model. Lineage: Bacteria; Pseudomonadati; Pseudomonadota; Alphaproteobacteria; Candidatus Pelagibacterales. The record is from RNAcentral.